GGGUGAUGAUCUUUCAGAAGGGAUGCAAGGGAUGGUAGAGAUUUGAUCUCCACAACUUAGGAGGGAUUCUUCGUGCUAAGAAAAUAGUGCCCAAGAACUCUCCAUGCAAGGGAAGAGAAGACUUCAUGGAAAUAUCAGAUCUAUUUUUUAUCGUAAAGAUGCACCCAUAAGGAAUCAAUAUUCCAUGCCAAUAAAUAGUGCCCUGCCUUUUAUUUUUUGUCGCACAAAACC
This 231-nucleotide long non-coding RNA is filed under the name Elaeis guineensis (African oil palm). Its description in RNAcentral is "long non-coding RNA (EGUI_LNC067972)". Lineage: Eukaryota; Viridiplantae; Streptophyta; Magnoliopsida; Arecales; Arecaceae. The record is from RNAcentral.